CCAGAAAUAGAUAGGUCGAGAGGAUUGUUGCUUCUACUAUCAUCAUGGAUGAAUAUAUGUUAUUUAACAAGUAAAUAGGCAAAAACCUCCAUGAAAUUGGAAGUUUCGUCAAAAACUCCCUUGAUUUUUACGAAACUUUAAAAACUUCCUGAAAUUGUUAAAAUUUAGUUAAUUACCCCCCUCCGUUUAUUUGGGCUGUUAAACCAUGUGACAUGGCAGUUAUAUGUACAUGUGGCAUCUCCAUGUGGGCUAAACCGCAUGUCACGUCAGAGGAGGUAAAUGACUAUUUUUUUUUUUUGUUUUCUUCAUCUUCUUCCUUCCACAUCUCCAUCUUCUUCAACAUCACCUUCAUCAAUAUUCAUAAAAAAAAAUCCAGAAUUUUUUUUAGGAAACAUCAACCAUCAACACCACCACCAUCUCAAUGCAUUCUACCAACAAUUCUAAUUUCUCAUACAUAGGACAAACCCUUAAAAUUUGCAUCAUCAAUCAAAAUGAUUAGAACACAAUAAUAAACCAAAUCAUUUUUGCUUGUUCUUCCCGAUGAAUUGGUUAAGCAUGCUGUUUCUGAGGGUACCAAAGCUGUUGUUGAUGGAUCAUUGUGUCUCUAUUGAACUGAUUGGAUCUUGUUGA
This 630-nucleotide long non-coding RNA is filed under the name Medicago truncatula (barrel medic). Its description in RNAcentral is "lncRNA gene48791". The record is from RNAcentral. Lineage: Eukaryota; Viridiplantae; Streptophyta; Magnoliopsida; Fabales; Fabaceae.